This 1018-nucleotide long non-coding RNA is filed under the name Brassica napus (rape). RNAcentral describes it as "long non-coding RNA (BNAP_LNC012795)". The record is from RNAcentral. Lineage: Eukaryota; Viridiplantae; Streptophyta; Magnoliopsida; Brassicales; Brassicaceae.
CUCCACAAAGCAAAACAUUAGGUUUCUUGAUUCAAGAUCAAAACUUUACACGAAGGAUAAAUUCGAAAAUUGUGACAAACAUUAGUAGUCUCUCAGUCACAUGAAAUAGAAACUAACAUUGAGGCCAAGAUCGAAACUUUACAAUCAUUGAACACCAAAAUCUGCAAAUUUGAGCACUCUAUUUCUUAAACUCCCUCCCCAGUAGAGAAACCAUCCCCUUUUGAUCCUUUCUUCUUCUGUCUCUUGGCAUCUCAGAUCAUCGCAGCUGCAGAAGAAGAAGACACGACGGUGGCAAUUGAGGGAAUGUUACCGAUUGUGGCGGCCUUGAAUGAAGAAGAGUGAGAAGAGACUAGCUAGAACUCGGCGUGAGCGUAAUGCUGAGAGCAGCUCCGGUGUUUGUGAGAAUCAUAGCGUAAACAGAGUCUGCGUAACAUUUCUUUGUUCUCGAUCUUGACUUGAGCACAACUCAUCUUCUUCCUUCCUCUCUGUAAGUCAAGUGCUCUCUCUACCCAUUAGAUUUUUCUGAUUUGUGAAACCAACAGAUUAAUGAUAAAUUUUUCUGGUUUGUAGAGAUUCAGAAAAAAAAAAAUGAAAGAAACGACGACAAUGGAACAGGGAUGAGUCUAAUAAAAUCAGGAUAACAUUAGAUCUGUAUAGGAGAUAUAUCAGUUUUGUCAUGAUCUAUAACAUUAGAUCUAAGCCGUCCAAAAUUGCAAUAAAUCUAUGGCUGUAAAUCAAUCCCACCCAUUUAUUUGUUAAGUUGGUCAGGUGAUGGUUGAGCAUGAACUAGAAAGGUUAGAUCUCAACAGAUGGUUGUGAAAAAGUGUCUAACCUUAUGUGAAUCUCGAAACUGCUCCGAAAGAAAUGAUUCAAGGAACGUAGUAAUAAGAAUCAUUACUAACUGAACGUCUUUCCAAGGCCGAUAUUUCUGUUUAGGGUAAACAAAAGCCUACGUGAACUCUUCUUAUCCUCAUUUUUCCAAAGGCAAAAAUAAAAGAAAAGUAGAAAACCAUUGUUC